UGGGGAAUUUUGGACAAUGGGCGAAAGCCUGAUCCAGCAAUGCCGCGUGUGUGAAGAAGGCCUUCGGGUUGUAAAGCACUUUUGUCCGGAAAGAAAUCCUUGGCUCUAAUACAGUCGGGGGAUGACGGUACCGGAAGAAUAAGCACCGGCUAACUACGUGCCAGCAGCCGCGGUAAUACGUAGGGUGCAAGCGUUAAUCGGAAUUACUGGGCGUAAAGCGUGCGCAGGCGGUUUGCUAAGACCGAUGUGAAAUCCCCGGGCUCAACCUGGGAACUGCAUUGGUGACUGGCAGGCUAGAGUAUGGCAGAGGGGGGUAGAAUUCCACGUGUAGCAGUGGAAUGCGUAGAGAUGUGGAGGAAUACCGAUGGCGAAGGCAGCCCCCUGGGCCAAUACUGACGCUCAUGCACGAAAGCGUGGGGAGCAAACAGGAUUAGAUACCCUGGUAGUCCACGCCCUAAAACGAUGUCAACUAGUUGUUGGGGAUUCAUUUCCUUAGUAACGUAGCUAACGCGUGAAGUUGACCGCCUGGGGAGUACGGUCGCAAGAUUAAAACUCAAAUGAAUUGACGGGGUCAUAGCUGUUUCCU
This 586-nucleotide ribosomal RNA is filed under the name uncultured bacterium. Its description in RNAcentral is "partial 16S ribosomal RNA". It matches the Rfam family "Bacterial small subunit ribosomal RNA", at positions 355 to 1375 of the family's 1533-position model. The record is from RNAcentral.